This 243-nucleotide long non-coding RNA is filed under the name Elaeis guineensis (African oil palm). RNAcentral's name for it is "long non-coding RNA (EGUI_LNC025736)". Lineage: Eukaryota; Viridiplantae; Streptophyta; Magnoliopsida; Arecales; Arecaceae. The record is from RNAcentral.
UCCAAUAGCAUGAUGCAUUCCACCAUUGAUGAGAAAAUUAUAGCAAUUUUUAACAGAGAAUUUGAUGCACAAUCCCACUUCCAGAGUCUUUGAUCCUCCACAUUUACUAGACUAGUAUUUGAGAUAAAACCAUGUAUUUUCCGAAGGUCUUCAAUGGCUGCAAAACUUAGGGGAUGUCUGAAACUUUUUGACCAAUAGUUGCCAGAAAGAAAUUCAGCCACAGUGAUCCUUGGGUGCUUGGCG